AUCAGUCGUGUUUACUGAUUCUGCAAGUUGUCUCCAAGCAUUAGAGGCAGGGAAAUCAUCUCACCCCUUCAUCCUAGCACUGGAAAGAGUAGCGACAGGAAAAGACGUUAAAUUUUGUUGGAUACCGGGACACUAUAAAAUUUUGGGGAAUGAAAUGGCAGACCAUGCAGCGAACAACGGACGGCGAAGUAGGAGAGCAACCAACUUUGUACCAGCAGAGGACAUCGUAAGAUGGAUGAAUAAAUGGACUGAUCAACGCUGCAGAAAAGACCAAAUCGUCCUGACACGUCUGCGCCUUGGACACAUCUGGCUAACAAAACA
Molecule: long non-coding RNA, 321 nt
Organism: Aedes albopictus (Asian tiger mosquito)
Lineage: Eukaryota; Metazoa; Arthropoda; Insecta; Diptera; Culicidae
Exons: 2
Source: RefSeq, a predicted model, not a curated record